AAGUGAAGUGUCCGGACACCCAAACAAGUGUCCGGACACCUCGAGCAGUUUUUGAGCAGAUAUGCAAUCUGUCUCAUUUUCUUCACAAAGUGUCCGGACACUUUAUGAGCCGUCCGGACACUCGACGAUAAAUUUCAGUUUAAAACACAUUGGGACAGUUUUAGUUUUAAUUCUUUCACUGGUUUUGACAGAGAACGCCGAGAGAGAGAGAGAACUAGAGAGAAGAAGGAUUUUGGUGUGAAUCAAGGAGAAAGAAGCUUGACUUGAAGAUUUUGGACUUUCUAAAGCUUGGUUUUCAAGAUUUCUUCAAGAUUGAGAUUUGAGCUUGGAUUGAAGUGUGGAGAUAGGAGGAGAGGUGGUUGUCCUAAGGUUUGAAGAUUUGGGCAAGGUGAGUAGUUUACCUUCAAAUUUUGAGAUAAAUGUGAGUAGUUGGUUUGGAAAAUAAUAAUUUUGGGAUGUCAAUUGAAUUGCAAAUGCGUGUAUGGUGUAGGUUAUUGAACUUGGAAGAUUGGUGACUAGAGUUGUGGUGAGAUUUUACUCAAACGAGGUGAUAUAGGUACUAGCGCUAGUGCUCCGACUACGGAUCAGCAGGGAGGAGCGUGACGCGGAUGGCCUGGACUUGUGGUGAUUUGUUGUUUAUUUUGUGUGGUCUUUGAUUAGUCUUAGGCUUAAUGGUAUAUUGGGAUAUAUACGAAAUGUGUGGGAUGAAUGAUGAUUUUGGAUGGUUAGGCUUGAUGCCUGGGUAUGUAUGUGUGUAUGAUGAAUUAUGUUUGAGAUGAUAUGGCCGGAGGCCCUGGAUAUUUAGUUUGGUGUUAUGGGAAUUGUGUGUUUUAAAUUGUUAUGUUUUAUGCAGGAGGCAUUCUCCGAUAUACGGGGAGGUGCUGCCGAAUUUUUGUGUAAAAUUUGUGUUGGUAUAAUGGUGAGUUAAAUGUAUUGA
Molecule: long non-coding RNA, 937 nt
Organism: Tripterygium wilfordii
Lineage: Eukaryota; Viridiplantae; Streptophyta; Magnoliopsida; Celastrales; Celastraceae
Exons: 3
Source: RefSeq, a predicted model, not a curated record